GAUGAACGCUAGCGGCAGGCUUAAUACAUGCAAGUCGAGGGGCAGCAGGACUGUAGCAAUACAGUUGCUGGCGACCGGCACACGGGUGCGGAACACGUACGCAACCUACCCAAAACUGGGGGAUAGCCCGGGGAAACCCGGAUUAAUACCUCGUAACCUUUUUCAGUGGCAUCACUUGAUAAGUAUAGCUCCGGCGGUUUUGGAUGGGCGUGCGCCUGAUUAGGUAGUUGGUGCGGGUAACGGCGCACCAAGCCUGCGAUCAGUAACUGAUGUGAGGGCACGACCAGUCAGACGGGCACCGCGACACGGGCCCGACUCCUACGGGAGGCAGCAGUAAGGAAUACUGGUCAAUGGACGCAAGUCUGAACCAGCCAUGCCGCGUGAAGGAUGAAGGUCCUCUGGAUUGUAAACUUCUUUUAUGGGGGACGAAACCCGGAUAUUCUUAUCAGAUUGACGGUACCUCAGGAAUAAGCACCGGCUAACUCCGUG
Molecule: ribosomal RNA, 489 nt
Filed under: uncultured bacterium
Lineage: Bacteria
Description: partial 16S ribosomal RNA
Rfam family: Bacterial small subunit ribosomal RNA
Source: RNAcentral